This 387-nucleotide ribosomal RNA is filed under the name uncultured bacterium. RNAcentral describes it as "bacterial SSU rRNA". It matches the Rfam family "Bacterial small subunit ribosomal RNA", at positions 29 to 417 of the family's 1533-position model. The record is from RNAcentral.
AUUGAACGCUGGCGGCAUGCUUUACACAUGCAAGUCGAACGGUAACAGGGAGCUUGCUCCGCUGACGAGUGGCGAACGGGUGAGUAAUGCAUCGGAACGUGCCGUGUAAUGGGGGAUAACGUAGCGAAAGUUACGCUAAUACCGCAUACGCCCUGAGGGGGAAAGUGGGGGACCGCAAGGCUCACGUUAUACGAGCGGCCGAUGUCGGAUUAGCUAGUUGGUGGGGUAAAGGCCUACCAAGGCGACGAUCCGUAGCGGGUCUGAGAGGAUGAUCCGCCGCACUGGGACUGAGACACGGCCCAGACUCCUACGGGAGGCAGCAGUGGGGAAUUUUGGACAAUGGGGGGCAACCCUGAUCCAGCCAUGCCGCGUGAGUGAAGAAGGCCU